RNAcentral lists this ribosomal RNA (1346 nucleotides) under uncultured bacterium. Its description in RNAcentral is "partial 16S ribosomal RNA". It matches the Rfam family "Bacterial small subunit ribosomal RNA", at positions 28 to 1381 of the family's 1533-position model. The record is from RNAcentral.
GACGAACGCUGGCGGCGCGCUUAACACAUGCAAGUCGAACGGAAAGGCCCUGCUUUUGUGGGGUGCUCGAGUGGCGAACGGGUGAGUAACACGUGAGUAACCUGCCCUUGACUUUGGGAUAACUUCAGGAAACUGGGGCUAAUACCGGAUAGGAGCUCCUGCUGCAUGGUGGGGGUUGGAAAGUUUCGGCGGUUGGGGAUGGACUCGCGGCUUAUCAACUUGUUGGUGGGGUAGUGGCUUACCAAGGCUUUGACGGGUAGCCGGCCUGAGAGGGUGACCGGCCACAUUGGGACUGAGAUACGGCCCAGACCCCUACGGGAGGCAGCAGUGGGGAAUAUUGCACAAUGGGCGGAAGCCUGAUGCAGCAACGCCGCGUGCGGGAUGACGGCCUUCGGGUUGUAAACCGCUUUCGCCUGUGACGAAGCGUGAGUGACGGUAAUGGGUAAAGAAGCACCGGCUAACUACGUGCCAGCAGCCGCGGUGAUACGUAGGGUGCGAGCGUUGUCCGGAUUUAUUGGGCGUAAAGGGCUCGUAGGUGGUUGAUCGCGUCGGAAGUGUAAUCUUGGGGCUUAACCCUGAGCGUGCUUUCGAUACGGGUUGACUUGAGGAAGGUAGGGGAGAAUGGAAUUCCUGGUGGAGCGGUGGAAUGCGCAGAUAUCAGGAGGAACACCAGUGGCGAAGGCGGUUCUCUGGGCCUUUCCUGACGCUGAGGAGCGAAAGCGUGGGGAGCGAACAGGCUUAGAUACCCUGGUAGUCCACGCUGUAAACGGUGGGUACUAGGUGUGGGGUCCAUUCCACGGGUUCCGUGCCGUAGCUAACGCUUUAAGUACCCCGCCUGGGGAGUACGGCCGCAAGGCUAAAACUCAAAGGAAUUGACGGGGCCCCGCACAAGCGGCGGAGCAUGCGGAUUAAUUCGAUGCAACGCGUAGAACCUUACCUGGGUUUGACAUGGAUCGGGAGUGCUCAGAGAUGGGUGUGCCUCUUUUGGGGUCGGUUCACAGGUGGUGCAUGCCUGUCGUCAGCUCGUGUCAUGAGAUGUUGGGUUAAGUCCCGCAACGAGCGCAACCCUUGUUCACUGUUGCCAGCACGUUAUGGUGGGGACUCAGUGGAGACCGCCGGGGUCAACUCGGAGGAAGGUGGGGAUGACGUCAAGUCAUCAUGCCCCUUAUGUCCAGGGCUUCACGCAUGCUACAAUGGCUGGUACAGAGAGUGGCGAGCCUGUGAGGGUGAGCGAAUCUCGGAAAGCCGGUCUCAGUUCGGAUUGGGGUCUGCAACUCGACCUCAUGAAGUCGGAGUCGCUAGUAAUCGCAGAUCAGCAACGCUGCGGUGAAUACGUUCCCGGGGCU